Molecule: long non-coding RNA, 593 nt
Organism: Bombus huntii
Lineage: Eukaryota; Metazoa; Arthropoda; Insecta; Hymenoptera; Apidae
Exons: 3
Source: RefSeq, a predicted model, not a curated record
CUAACAUGCGCGUGUGUCUGAUAUCGACGAUAUCGCGCUCUGUAACUUGCUUCCCGUCGAAUUAAUUUUAGGCAACAGAUUUACGAGGGAGAGUAAUGACUCAAUGCGCGAAGAACAAUUGACGAAUUGUCUUCGACGAUUAAGACGAAAUUUACGAAUGCUUACUGCGCACGAUUAUGCGAUACGACGCAACUGAAGCGAAUACCGCGAUGCGAUGUACGACUGAACGAAUGCGACUGAAUUAUCGUACGACGAUACGAAUGAUUAACGAUACACUCGUUCGCAAACGCGUGUCGGUGCGCAUUUGAACGACCCACACGAGACGGUUUACUAAUCGUUCGCUCACUAAAAUGAUACUUACCUUCGCGUAUGCUUGGAGAUACUGUUCACAACUGAAGAUUUCGCACAGGACUGUCCACAAGUCGUUACGCCUGAUGGAACGACUCUCGCUUGAAGAGCGCUGAGAGAUUGAAACGGUUCGUUACUCCACGUUUAGCGAUUCGAAGGCACGGAAGCUGACUCUCUCGUCGACAUUCACCAUUGAAAUACUCGAACGAGACUGCCGACACCGUUAUUAUACUCGGGCGGGCCCA